UAUGUACUCACUCCGUUCCGAAUUACUUGUCUUGGAUUUGUCUAGAUACGGAUGUAUCUAGACAAAUCCAAGACAAGUAAUUCGGAACAGAGGGAGUAUGAU
Triticum aestivum (bread wheat) is the source of this 102-nucleotide non-coding RNA. NCBI's taxonomy places the organism in Eukaryota, Viridiplantae, Streptophyta, Magnoliopsida, Poales, Poaceae. The record is from Rfam.